RNAcentral lists this ribosomal RNA (274 nucleotides) under uncultured bacterium. RNAcentral describes it as "partial 16S ribosomal RNA". It matches the Rfam family "Bacterial small subunit ribosomal RNA", at positions 523 to 796 of the family's 1533-position model. The record is from RNAcentral.
AUACGGAGGGGGCUAGCGUUGUUCGGAAUUACUGGGCGUAAAGCGCGCGUAGGCGGGCUGGUCAGUUGGGGGUGAAAUCCCGAGGCUCAACCUCGGAACUGCCUUCAAUACUGCCAGUCUUGAGUCCGGGAGAGGUGAGUGGAAUUCCUAGUGUAGAGGUGAAAUUCGUAGAUAUUAGGAAGAACACCAGUGGCGAAGGCGGCUCACUGGCCCGGUACUGACGCUGAGGCGCGAAAGCGUGGGGAGCAAACAGGAUUAGAAACCCCAGUAGUCC